GAUAACAAAAUUUAUCAAAGCGUGGCGUGAUGCUAACCUGAGAAACAUGGGGUUCAAUCAAUAUCAAACAGCAUAUCCAGUAUUACCGAAACAAGUAGGGAGCGAUGAUUGUGGAAUUUUCACAAUAAACAAGAUGCAAAAUUAUCGAGCAAGGAACCAGUUGCAGACAGUAUUCCAAUCAAAAGAUGUUCCAGAUGCGCGCGUGAGACUUGCUGUUGAUCUACUAUUCAGCACUCACAACGAAAUAGAUGAAGCAAAGACACUUGUCAAGGACUUGUGAUACAGAACUGUCAAUCAACUAGAAUAUUUAUGUCAUACAUGGAG
Triticum aestivum (bread wheat) is the source of this 324-nucleotide long non-coding RNA. RefSeq lists it as uncharacterized. The record is from RefSeq and is a predicted model, not a curated record. The transcript has 3 exons. Lineage: Eukaryota; Viridiplantae; Streptophyta; Magnoliopsida; Poales; Poaceae.